CUCCGAAUGAAUCUAUUCGUUGUAAGAGAAACAGAACCUUCUCUAAAGACUAAUAAGGGAAGGCGGUUCAAAUCCGCCACAGCCCCCGCUACUGUAAGGCAGACAAGACCCAAUAUGUCACUGAAUGUUCGGGAAGACGGGUUAAGGAUGAAGCCGAGUCAGGAUACCUGCCGAAACCUUGCGUAAACU
RNAcentral lists this non-coding RNA (189 nucleotides) under Clostridiales bacterium. Lineage: Bacteria; Bacillati; Bacillota; Clostridia; Eubacteriales. The record is from RNAcentral.